GUGUCAGCCGCCGCGGUAACACGGGGGGAGCAAGCGUUGUCCGGAUUUACUGGGCGUGAAGCGCGCGUAGGCGGUCCAUUAAGUCGGCUGUGAAAGCGCUGGGCUCAACCCAGCAAGGUCAGUCGAUACUGGUGGACUCGAGUCCGGGAGAGGGAAGCGGAAUUGCUGGUGUAGCGGUGGAAUGCGUAGAUAUCAGCAAGAACACCGGUGGCGAAGGCGGCUUCCUGGACCGGCACUGACGCUGAGGCGCGAAAGCUAGGGGAGCGAACCGGAUUAGAUACCCGGGUAGUCCUAGCUGUAAACGAUGGUCACUAGGUGUUGGGGGUAUCGGCCCCCCCAGUGCCGCAGCUAACGCAUUAAGUGACCCGCCUGGGGAGUACGGCCGCAAGGCUGAAACUCAAAGGAAUUGACGGGG
RNAcentral lists this ribosomal RNA (415 nucleotides) under uncultured prokaryote. Its description in RNAcentral is "bacterial SSU rRNA". It matches the Rfam family "Bacterial small subunit ribosomal RNA", at positions 505 to 918 of the family's 1533-position model. The record is from RNAcentral.